GCCUCUGUAGCUCAGUUGGUAGAGCGACUGCUUCGUAAGCAGUAGGUCGUGGGUUCGAUCCCCACCGGAGGCU
Molecule: transfer RNA, 73 nt
Filed under: Nanobdellota archaeon
Lineage: Archaea; Nanobdellati; Nanobdellota
Also listed under: 1 other name
Description: tRNA-Thr
Rfam family: tRNA
About the family: Transfer RNA (tRNA) molecules are approximately 80 nucleotides in length.
Source: RNAcentral